This 426-nucleotide long non-coding RNA is filed under the name Pan troglodytes (chimpanzee). Its description in RNAcentral is "lincRNA". Lineage: Eukaryota; Metazoa; Chordata; Mammalia; Primates; Hominidae. The record is from RNAcentral.
GCCCCCGCCCGCCCGAGCCUCGGCCGCGGGCCUCUCUCCUCCGUUAUCCCGCCUGCCCGCGCAAAACUCACACAACCCUCUUCAUUCGACCUACCUCCCUUGGGCACGUCUCGCAGUCAGGCUUGCGUUGGGGCCGUUUACUUCCCUUCGAUUAGACAACCAGGCCCCGCGGGGCUGGGGCUGCGGCCUCCCCUCCCCGCCCGGCACACGCGGGCACAGCGUGGUUACCCUGGUUACUCAAAAGGAAGAGGCCGCUUGAACUGAGAAAAACACAACGUGUGAAUACGGUGGCUUCUUGUGAGAAGGGGCCAUUCUAUUGUAACUGUGAAUCUGCAGCAGUAAUCUUUUUGGCUUUGUCCUAGCCUUUGACUACGUGGGUGCUUAAUACAUGCAUGUUGAAUGAACAAAUAAAAAGAAUUCUUCACA